UGAAAUCCCUAAUCUUCCCAUGGCCCGACAAUAUUUUCUCAUAGAAAAUAUUUGAUUCUCCCUCCAUCUUCCAAUCUUUUUAGUUCCCUUCCCAUUACAAAUCAGUUUUCCAUUCCAAACCCUAACAAACGUUUAACAAAAAAACACCCCUUCUUCACCGUUUUGAACUCCUCCAUCGUUUUCUCUACUUCCCCUCCUUCUUCUGCUCUCCAAUGGCUAUCCCUGCCGCAAACGUUUAACAAAAAAAACACCCUUUUGUUUAUACCCAAUGCCAGUGUAUCCACGCGCGUUCCAUUUUCCCGUGUCAAGACACUCCCGCAGCGAGAAUCCGUUACUCUGGUUUGCUCAAUGUCCCUCGGAAGUUAUCCGCCGUUUCAAGUGAAUACUUUUCAUUCUUCCUUUAAUUUUUGCCUAACAAUAAGCUCAUCACUCCCUCAAUCUUGUUUGUCGUUUUCAAAUAGACCCCUUUCUCUUCUAAUGUUUCUGCCGGUUAUUUUUGUUGGAGAUGUUGGGGCUGCUGCAGGGAUAAGACGAGGACAUCGAGGAAGAAUCAAGCGUCGUCAAGCAGCGGAGGUGGAGGAGGUGAAGGGAAUCAAGACGAGAUUACGGAUGAAGAAGCUCUUUCCAAUAUCACCAAACAAAAAGCCGCUGCUGCCAAGCAGUAUAUUGAGAAUCAUUACAAGGAGCAGAUGAAGAAUCUUCAAGACAGAAAAGAGAGCUGAAAUGAAUAAAGUUUUUUUGAUAUGCGAGCAUGAGAUGAUGAGGCGGAAGUAAGGAAGUUUUUUUAUAUUUGAAUUUGGUCUGAGUUUAUGGGUAAAGUGGAUUUUGGGUGAAAUCGGCAGAAGCAUGAGGCAGGGUUUGCUGUCGAGUGGUCUAUUGACGAACAUUAUAUAUUGGAGGACAGCCUUGAAAAGUAUAAAGAUGAACCAAGUAUUAUGAAGUACAUAAAGAUUGCAGCUACCUUGCCUGAUAAAACUGUACGUGAUGUUGCAUUGAGGUGUUGGUGGAUGCAAGCCCAUGCAUGAAGUUACAUUUUCAAUAGAAGACAAACCAAAACUUCUUAGUCAGUUAGUGAAUCCGGAGAGUGGCUAUAAUUAUAGAGCUGUCAAAAGAUGGACUUCGCAAAGGAAGUUGGGUUACUGCCUAUUGGACUGUGAUAAAGAACACAUUCCCUAUGCCUUAUUUUCGUUUAAGGACCGCCAAGGAAAUUCUGAAACUAAAAGCUAAUUGAUCGGAUGUGUAUGCCGGCUUUCAUCAACUACUUUCGAAGGCCUUACUAGAAAUUGAAAUGGUGUGCAAAGAGAUUGCUUCUUCUGAUCUGAUUUUUCGAUAUAAAUACUGGACAAAGUAUGGAUAUUUCUUGUCAGUUGCAUUUACUGCUGUUAGUAAAAUAGGAUUCUCUUCUUAGGAUCUUAGUUUCUUCACUUGUAUUAGACUCAACAAUGGCUUGCAUUGCAUUGGUGUUGAUUUUACCUAAAUUUCGAGGUUUACAAUUUUUAAUUUUUAUUAAUUAUUUACGUUUUCUCA
Gossypium raimondii (Peruvian cotton) is the source of this 1527-nucleotide RNA transcript. RefSeq lists it as uncharacterized. Lineage: Eukaryota; Viridiplantae; Streptophyta; Magnoliopsida; Malvales; Malvaceae. The record is from RefSeq and is a predicted model, not a curated record. The transcript is spliced from 6 exons.